AUUGAACGCUGGCGGCAUGCCUUACACAUGCAAGUCGAACGGCAGCGCGGGAGCAAUCCUGGUGGCGAGUGGCGAACGGGUGAGUAAUAUAUCGGAACGUGCCCAGUCGUGGGGGAUAACGUAGCGAAAGCUACGCUAAUACCGCAUACGAUCUAUGGAUGAAAGCGGGGGAUCGCAAGACCUCGCGCGAUUGGAGCGGCCGAUAUCAGAUUAGGUAGUUGGUGAGGUAAAGGCUCACCAAGCCGACGAUCUGUAGCUGGUCUGAGAGGACGACCAGCCACACUGGGACUGAGACACGGCCCAGACUCCUACGGGAGGCAGCAGUGGGGAAUUUUUGGACAAUGGGCGCAAGCCUGAUCCAGCAAUGCCGCGUGCAGGAUGAAGGCCU
This 388-nucleotide ribosomal RNA is filed under the name uncultured bacterium. Its description in RNAcentral is "bacterial SSU rRNA". It matches the Rfam family "Bacterial small subunit ribosomal RNA", at positions 30 to 417 of the family's 1533-position model. The record is from RNAcentral.